UCCAACUUAUCGCUGGCGGUCUCCUGAGAGUGCUUCCCUUGCGGGAGUGGCAACACAGGACAGGGGUUGCGCUCGUUGCGGGACUUAACCCAACAUCUCACGACACGAGCUGACGACGGCCAUGCAGCACCUCGACUCCGGUCUCUUGCGAGAAGUCUCUGUUUCCAAAGAUGUUCCAAAGCCGUUCGAGCCCAGGUAAGGUUCUUCGCGUUGCGUCGAAUUAAACCACAUGCUCCACCGCUUGUGCGGGCCCCCGUCAAUUCCUUUGAGUUUCAGCCUUGCGGCCGUACUCCCCAGGCGGGGCACUUAAUGCGUUAGCUGCGGCACCGGCGGUAACCCGCCGACACUUAGUACCCAUCGUUUACAGCGUGGACUAC
This 377-nucleotide unclassified non-coding RNA is filed under the name uncultured bacterium. Its description in RNAcentral is "contains 16S-23S intergenic spacer region". The record is from RNAcentral.